This is a long non-coding RNA of Liolophura sinensis, 486 nucleotides long. RefSeq lists it as uncharacterized. The record is from RefSeq and is a predicted model, not a curated record. NCBI's taxonomy places the organism in Eukaryota, Metazoa, Mollusca, Polyplacophora, Chitonida, Chitonidae. The transcript is spliced from 3 exons.
CUCACUCGUAACGGAGGGAAUCCACGUAUUGAGCCAGUGUUAUUGGUGGCCCGUGUAACAAAACGAAGGGCUGUUUGCCGAGGCAUUCCAUCUGCUCUGCCAAUCACACCUGUGAGUGCGAGGUCAAUUUUCUCUCCACGAUAGACUUGUUUUGGUGUGUAAGUACCGCCCAGGUUGCACUCGGUGACCUUUGCAACAAAUCCAAUAAUUGCGGCAUCGGAGUGGGGUGCAAGUCUGGAACGUGUAGCUGUAUGCCAUGGCACGGAGCGUGGAUAGAGGAUGAAAAGUGGGCGGGGUUACCGCAGUCCAAGUACACACAAUGCCAGAACAAGAACUAUACUCUGAACGAAUGUAAUGGAGUAACAUUUGUGCCUCCCAUUGGGUAAAAUCAACAGAUAGUGUGCCAUUGUGUGCCUUCGUUUCCCACAUUUUUUUUUGGUAAAUUUCGCAAAUUAUGGUCAGUAUUUUUAUGGAUACAAUACAAUC